UUGGUCAAGAUAUUAAGGGCGUAUGGGGGAUUCCUUGGCAUAUAGGUUUAAGAAGGACGUGGAUAGCUGCGAUAAGCCUCGGGAAGCUGCUAACAAGCUUUGAUCCGGGGAUUUCCGAAUGAGGAAACUCACAUAGAGUAAUGUCUAUGUAUCAUUGUCUGAAUUAAUAGGGCAAUGAAGAGAACCAGGUGAACUGAAACAUCUAAGUAACCUGAGGAAAAAAAAUCAAUUGAGAUUCCCUUAGUAGCGGCGAGCGAAACGGGAUCAGCCUAAACCUAAUUAUUGUUAGUAGCUUACAGGCGCUGAUAGUUAGGGGUUGUAGGAUGCUUCUUUAUUCUUCUGUAAAAGAGUAGGUAAGUUACAAAGUGUUAUGUUAGUAAAAUAUUCUGGAAAGAAUAACCAUAGAGGGUGAUAGUCCCGUAUACGAAAACAUAGCACCUUACUUGAAGUAUUCCUGAGUACCGCGGGACACGAGAAAUCCUGCGGGAAUCUGGGAGGACCAUCUUCCAAGGCUAAAUACCAUUAUAUGACCGAUAGUGAACCAGUACCGUGAGGGAAAGGUGAAAAGAACCCAGGAAUGGGAGUGAAAUAGAACAUGAAACCAUACGCUUACAAGCAAUACGAGGAUCCUUUUGGAUCUGAGUGUGUGCCUAUUGAAGAAUGUGCCAGCGACUUAAUAGCAGUAGCAAGGUUAAGUUUUUAUACGGAGCCGUAGCGAAAGCGAGUCUUAAUAGGGCGUUCAGUUGCUGUUAUUAGACCCGAAACCCGGUGAUCUAUCCAUGAGCAGGAUGAAGCGAGAGUAACAUCUCGUGGAGGUCCGAACCAGUGUAUGUUGAAAAAUGCUUGGAUGACUUGUGGAUAGUGGUGAAAUGCUAAUCGAACCGGGAGAUAUCUGGCUCUCCUCGAAAUGACUUUAGGGUCAGCCUUGAGGUUAAGGAGUCCGGAGGUAGAGCACUGUUUAGGCUAGGGGUACCACCAGUAUUACCAAACCUAGGCAAACUCCGAAUGCCGGACUUUCAUACUCAGGAGUGAGUCUUAGGGGGCUAAGCUCCUAGGACAAAAGGGAAACAACCCAGAUCGUCGAUUAAGGUCCCUAAAUGUACACUAAGUGGGAAAGGUAGUGGAGUCACACAAACAACCAGGAGGUUGGCUUAGAAGCAGCCACCCUUUAAAGAAAGCGUAAUAGCUCACUGGUCGAGUGGUUCUGCGCCGAAAAUGUAACGGGGCUCAAGUGUACUACCGAAAUCACGAGUUGAUAAUUUAUUAUCAGCGGUAGAGGAGCGUUCUGUAUUAGGUUGAAGUCGAAUUGAGAAGUUCGGUGGACGAAUCAGAAGUGAGAAUGUUGGCAUAAGUAACGAAAAAAUAAGUGAGAAUCUUAUUCGCCGUAAAUCUAAGGUUUCCUGGGGAAGGCUCGUCCGCCCAGGGUUAGUCGCGCCUAAGUUCAGGCCGAAAGGCGUAGACGAUGGACAACAGGUUAAUAUUCCUGUACUACCGAAAAAUCGUUAUUAGCGAUGGGGAGACGCAGUAGGAUAGAUUAGCCUCUUAUUGGAUUGAGGUUUAAGCUUGUAGGAGGAGAAGAUUGGUAAAUCCGUCUUUUCAUAUACUCUGAGGAGUGAUGACGACCAGCUUGCUGGGAAGUAAUUGAGUCCACACUGACUAGAAAAUCCUCUAGCGAGAUUUUUAGGUAACCGUACUAAAACCGACACAGGUAGAUGGGUAGAGAAUACCAAGGCGCGCGAGAUAACUCUCGUUAAGGAACUCGGCAAAAUAGCCUCGUAACUUCGGGAGAAGAGGUGCCCGUUUAGGUUAAACUUUUACAGUGUAAGCCUAGGUGGGUUGCAAUGAAAUGGCUCAAGCGACUGUUUAUCAAAAACACAGGUCUCUGCUAAACCGUAAGGUGAUGUAUAGGGGCUGACGCCUGCCCAGUGCUGGAAGGUUAAUAGGAGGUGUUAGACUUCGGUCAAAGCUCCGAAUUGAAGCCCCAGUGAACGGCGGCCGUAACUAUAACGGUCCUAAGGUAGCGAAAUUCCUUGUCGGGUAAGUUCCGACCCGCACGAAAGGCGUAACGAAUUGAGCACUGUCUCAACGAGAGACUCGGUGAAAUUGAAUCAUCCGUGAAGAUGCGGAUUACCUGUAGCAAGACAGAAAGACCCCGUGGAGCUUUACUAUAGCUUGGCUUUGUUUUUUGGACUAAUUUGUGCAGUAUAGGUGGGAGACUUUGAAGUGACGACGUCAGUCGUUGUGGAGUCGUCAGUGAGAUACCACCCUGAUUAUUUUGGAAUACUAACUACGUCCCGUUAUCCGGGAAUAGGACAGAGUCUGGUGGGUAGUUUGACUGGGGCGGUCGCCUCCUAAAGAGUAACGGAGGCGCUCAAAGGUUCACUCAAAACGGUUGGAAAUCGUUUGUAGAGCGUAAGGGUAUAAGUGAGCUUGACUGCGAGACUUACAAGUCGAGCAGGGACGAAAGUCGGACCUAGUGAUCCGGUAUCUCCGAAUGGAAGGGAUAUCGCUCAACGGAUAAAAGUUACCCCGGGGAUAACAGGCUUAUCUCCCCCAAGAGUUCACAUCGACGGGGAGGUUUGGCACCUCGAUGUCGGCUCGUCGCAUCCUGGAGCUGGAGUCGGUUCCAAGGGUUGGGCUGUUCGCCCAUUAAAGCGGUACGUGAGCUGGGUUCAGAACGUCGUGAGACAGUUUGGUCCAUAUCUGCUACAGGCGUAGGAAAUUUGAGAGGAGCUGUUCCUAGUACGAGAGGACCGGAAUGGACGUACCACUGGUGUACCAGUUAUUCUGCCAAGAGUAAACGCUGGGUAGCUAUGUACGGAAGGGAUAACCGCUGAAGGCAUCUAAGUGGGAAGCCCACCUCAAGAUUAAAUUUCCCAUCACUAUAUGUGAGUAAAACCCCUUGUAGAUCACAAGGUUGAUAGGCUGGGUGUGUAAGCGCAGUAAUGCGUGUCUAG
Molecule: ribosomal RNA, 2957 nt
Filed under: Candidatus Marinamargulisbacteria bacterium SCGC AAA071-K20
Lineage: Bacteria; Bacillati; Candidatus Margulisiibacteriota; Candidatus Marinamargulisbacteria
Description: bacterial LSU rRNA
Rfam family: Bacterial large subunit ribosomal RNA
Source: RNAcentral